Molecule: non-coding RNA, 263 nt
Organism: Pelobates cultripes (western spadefoot toad)
Lineage: Eukaryota; Metazoa; Chordata; Amphibia; Anura; Pelobatidae
Source: the annotation of a GenBank genome assembly
GUAAAUGUUGGUUUUGGUCAUGGGAGUUAGAGUUUAUUCGUAACCAAAUGUUCAGAGUUUUGUAAAAGGCAUUUGAUGUUGGUGCCCAUUAUUUGAUUUGCACGGAUGCAGUAAUUUACCCUUUUACUUCAUUCACUUAGUGUUUCACUCUCUGAUAAGGUUUACUGGGGGACAAUUAGGGGAUAGUUACCUCUAGAAUUCUCAACGAAGCGUGUCAGAUUUUAGGUUACAAAAGGUGAAUUGAAAAUCUAGCUGAUUUAGGG